This 475-nucleotide ribosomal RNA is filed under the name uncultured rhodophyte. RNAcentral describes it as "bacterial SSU rRNA". It matches the Rfam family "Bacterial small subunit ribosomal RNA", at positions 9 to 524 of the family's 1533-position model. The record is from RNAcentral. Lineage: Eukaryota; Rhodophyta.
GAGUUGAUCAUGGCUCAGGAUGAACGCUGGCGGUAUGCUUAACACAUGCAAGUCGAACGGUUAGUAAAAUAAAUAGUGGCGUACGGGUGAGUAAUACGUGAGAAUAUACCUUUGGGAAUGGAUAACUAAGGGAAACUUUGGCUAAUACCAAAUACGCUAUUUGUAGAUCGAUAGUUAAAUAAUUUUGCCCUUAGAUUAGCUUACGUCUGAUUAGUUAGUUGGUGUGGUAAUGGCUCACCAGGCGAUGAUCAGUAGCUGGUUUGAGAGGACGAUCAGCCACAGUUGAAUUGAAAUACGGAAACACUUCUACGGAAGGCAGCAGUGGGGAAUUUUUCGCAAUGAGCGCAAGCUUGACGAGCAAUACCGCGUGAAGGAUGAAGGUCUAUGGAUUGUAAACUUCUUUUGUCAGAGAAGAAUUAAUGACGGUAUCUGAAGAAUAAGUAUCGGCUAAUUCCGUGCCAGCAGCCGCGGUAAU